This 21-nucleotide non-coding RNA is filed under the name Arabidopsis thaliana (thale cress). Lineage: Eukaryota; Viridiplantae; Streptophyta; Magnoliopsida; Brassicales; Brassicaceae. The record is from RNAcentral.
UCACCAUGUUUCUGAUUUCAC